RNAcentral lists this transfer RNA (69 nucleotides) under Pungitius kaibarae. RNAcentral's name for it is "tRNA-Arg". It matches the Rfam family "tRNA". From Rfam's summary of the family: Transfer RNA (tRNA) molecules are approximately 80 nucleotides in length. Their secondary structure includes four short double-helical elements and three loops (D, anti-codon, and T loops). Further hydrogen bonds mediate the characteristic L-shaped molecular structure. tRNAs have two regions of fundamental functional importance: the anti-codon, which is responsible for specific mRNA codon recognition, and the 3' end, to which the tRNAs corresponding amino acid is attached (by aminoacyl-tRNA synthetases). tRNAs cope with the degeneracy of the genetic code in two manners: having more than one tRNA (with a specific anti-codon) for a particular amino acid; and 'wobble' base-pairing, i.e. permitting non-standard base-pairing at the 3rd anti-codon position. The record is from RNAcentral. Lineage: Eukaryota; Metazoa; Chordata; Actinopteri; Perciformes; Gasterosteidae.
AGGAAGUUAGUUUAAAUAAAACCUUUGAUUUCGGCUCAAAAACCUGUGGUUAAAGUCCACAACUACCUA